UUGAAAACCGUGACUACGGGUCCGUCUACUGUCACGGAAUGCGCCGUAAACUUCUUUAAACCAUCUGUUGUUUUGUCUAUACUGAUGUACAACAUGUGUACCUGGCAUUUGUGUUAUAUGCGUGCGUGUCUGGUAAUUUGUUUGGUGGAUUAUCACAGCUUGAGCAAAAAAAAUUGCCAACAAGGUGUCGACGAAUGAAGUAUUACUUCGACAAUGCCUUUCCACAGAAGGACUAUUAAAAAUUAGUGGCUCACAGAGACUGUCGGUGCGGAUGUCAACAACGACGCCAUCAAGCGUUCGUUUCGCAAGCUACUUAGAAAUAAACCAAUUAAGAUCAGGGCAGCUAUCGAUGCGAAUGACAACUAGUGAAUCAGCCAUAAUGAGCGAAUUGGGUUGCUUGCUAAACGUACCAGACGAGCGAAACGACCGCUGGCAAUCUUUCAAUCACCUAAUAAUAUGCUCUGGUCCGAGAUAAAAACUCUGCCAGCUGGUCGCGUUCUUCGGAACUAUGCGUCCGUGAGUAAGCUGAACGCCAAAGAUGCAUGGUUGCGCAACAGGGAAAAAAGCCUGUCAACCAUUUGGCGCUACAGCUUAUCUGGACUGCUCGGUAAAGAAGACAACAGAUGAUCCCGGUUUGUCAUGGAACGUGUCUUAACAGCCUGAUGGUUAACCUAUAGCCGAUAUGAAAAACGCUGAACUUAGCGAUUUAGUUGGUCACUUAACUUAGCUAUUCAAAAAAACUGUCAGAGGUUUCCUAGAUUAAGUUUUCUAGUCUUCAUGUACGUUUCUUGAAGUUCUCAGCAUUCAGGCAGUCCAAUAUGUGCUCAUUCCAAGCUCUGAAUCGUCUGAUGAUAUCGACGCUCGCUGAUUCGUCCCUGUUUUCACAGUAUCUCAUCUCUCGAACGAAUGCGGUCAAUGGCAUGUAAGACUGACAUUACGGGUCACGGCGACGCGUUUGCUGUCAUUAUCAACGACGUCAGCUUCUGUGCGUUUUAUAGAGGAAGGAUUACCGAGCACUGAUAUUCUGGGGUGUUAUUACCGGUGGCGAUGAAAACUUAGGAACACAUCUCAACUGAUAAUAGGUAACGACUGAAAUUACGAUAACCGCGGACAUCUGCCAGAUUAGAAGGAGACCGUGGCAGCGUGCUAGUAGAAAUGAGAAAUGCAUUUAACUUCGCGAUAUAGGAAUGUACGCAUGAAGAGAAACGCGAAACGGAAAAUAACACAGGAUAAAUUCUUACGAGCAACAAGCCACGAAAACUUUUAAUAACGUUGUUGAUAACACAGUAGCGUCAUAAGAAAAAAAACAAUACGCUCUGCACGACGAGAAGUUCGCGUCAGCUGGAAGACUACGAUAUUGCAGCUGGUGUUUUACGCAUAAAGAAUGUUAUGAAUAUAUAAAGGCGCGUUAUUGGCUGGAAGAAAACCACGGCGCGUCCAAUACAUCCAGAUGACCACAGAAAGCAGGCAGACUAUAAGCGAUUCUCGGCAGCGAUCCAAGUCGAUCUUGAUGGGCUUUCCGUUUUGCACGUGGUACGCAUCUUGUGCGUAUGUCCCAAUGUGACAAAAAACGCGCAAGAUAAAGCGUGAUCUUAAUGUUUUAUUCGAAAUUGAUUUUUCGAAGCAAUUCCCCGUUCGCUGUACCUCUUAUUUUUGAUUAUUCGUGUCCUAAUUUAUCCCAAUGAUUUACCUCGAAAAUGUUCUACUGUCAUGCUUCUCGAGUUCUACACAUGAAAGUCACACUAAAAAAUUGAUUUGGGUGGAAAAAUCGUAGCUUCUGUCGUUCUCAUAUAGGAUUUGCCGUGUAAAUGCAGAGAAAAAUUGUCAAGAUUGAAAUCGAAUUAUAUAUCUUACAGCUACCUCCUGGCUUUUUUUUUUAUCCAUAAUAUACGCGUCUAAAAUUGAAUACCUAUCUCUUAUCCUGAAAACUGUUUCGUAAAGUAGUUGCCUUACUUAGUUUUUAAGGAGCAACUUCUUUCUCUUAUAAUUCAGUGUUAUAUUGGAUAAGUUAUGAUUAUUUUUAGAAUUUUAAUUUUAGGACGAUUGAUAAUUUUUGAAAGGUUUUUCAUAUAAAGAUGUUCGUUUUUCUAUACUCUUUGAAAUUAAGUGCAAAAUAAAAAUGCAGUCUUUCUGAUUUUUGCCAUCGAAGGGUAACAUAAUGGUUUAUACGAAAAUUGUUGUGAAUUUAUCAGAUCUAUAUUAAGCUAAAGCUGGCAGACGGAUUAUGUGUAAUGAAAAAACGAGAGGUCUAUGGUAGCACAUCGAUAUUAUGAUAAGAACGUUACAGCGUAAAGCCGGACUAACGAUAUCCGAGUGAAGAAUUUGGCUUACGCACAACUGGGGGUGCACUACAAGGCCAGGGAUUAACUCUACGUAUAGAGUAAAAUUCGUUUAAGCUUAUAUUGACAUUUCUAAAUCCAGAACAGUUAUCUCUCAAGGUAGUAAGGCCCGUGCUCUGUGGUAGUGGCCUAAAUGCAAAGAGAAGACGGGCUCCUGUAAACGAUUCGUGGGAUAAGAUGGUAAACUCAUUGUUCCAUGGGCUCGGAUAAAUAGAAAAAUAGAUUGGCUACGUUAUAAAAAAUAAUUAUUGUCGCUCUACAGCUGCAACAGGAUAGUGGAUUCGAUGCAGCAAGAUUCCGAAAAAGUCUAGAAGUGCAGUCCGAUCUCCAUGGAAAAAGAGGUACAUACUUUUACAGUAUACUUAGGUCUGAAACCGUACCAUAGCUGAUAUUAGAUUGCGAAUUAUUAUUAAUCAAAUUAGAUAGGUAAAGUCGAUGGGGUAAUGUAGCAUUGCAAAAACACUAU
Long non-coding RNA from Varroa destructor (honeybee mite), 2805 nucleotides. Lineage: Eukaryota; Metazoa; Arthropoda; Arachnida; Mesostigmata; Varroidae. The record is from RefSeq and is a predicted model, not a curated record.